This 481-nucleotide ribosomal RNA is filed under the name uncultured bacterium. RNAcentral describes it as "bacterial SSU rRNA". It matches the Rfam family "Bacterial small subunit ribosomal RNA", at positions 21 to 518 of the family's 1533-position model. The record is from RNAcentral.
GGCUCAGGACGAACGCUGGCGGCGUGCUUAACACAUGCAAGUCGAGCGAUGAAGCUUCUUCGGAAGUGGAUUAGCGGCGGACGGGUGAGUAACACGUGGGUAACCUGCCUCAUAGAGGGGAAUAGCCUUCCGAAAGGAAGAUUAAUACCGCAUAAGAUUGUAAUAUCGCAUGAUAUAGCAAUUAAAGGAGUAAUCCGCUAUGAGAUGGACCCGCGUCGCAUUAGCUAGUUGGUGAGGUAACGGCUCACCAAGGCGACGAUGCGUAGCCGACCUGAGAGGGUGAUCGGCCACAUUGGGACUGAGACACGGCCCAGACUCCUACGGGAGGCAGCAGUGGGGAAUAUUGCACAAUGGGGGAAACCCUGAUGCAAGCAACGCCGCGUGAGUGAUGACGGUCUUCGGAUUGUAAAGCUCUGUCUUCAGGGACGAUAAUGACGGUACCUGAGGAGGAAGCCACGGCUAACUACGUGCCAGCCGCCGC